AAAAAGUCAUUUUCCACAUGCUUCCACUGUUUACCAAAAACAAAUAAAAGAAUGGUAUUUUCUCUCUCUUCUUUUGCAUACAAGAACAACAAAUGAACGGUCUGAAUCCUUGACUCCAUUUGUAUGCUCAUUUUUAAGCCUUUAAAUGCUUUUCUAAACUAAAUCCCUCUUGAAGCAACAGCAAAAUUUUACAUCUGGAGUACAAUAUGCAGAUA
RNAcentral lists this unclassified non-coding RNA (215 nucleotides) under Hevea brasiliensis (rubber tree). The record is from RNAcentral. Lineage: Eukaryota; Viridiplantae; Streptophyta; Magnoliopsida; Malpighiales; Euphorbiaceae.